RNAcentral lists this transfer RNA (66 nucleotides) under Entiminae sp. GENSP01. RNAcentral's name for it is "tRNA-Ser". Lineage: Eukaryota; Metazoa; Arthropoda; Insecta; Coleoptera; Curculionidae. The record is from RNAcentral.
GAGAUAUGAAACUCAGAAAAAAGCUUCUAACUUUAUUCUAAGCGGCGCACCUCCGUUUAUGUCUCU